GCACGUGUACCGACUCCAUCCAUCUACGACAGAAGCGGACGUAAUCGGCUAUUUGAAACCGAUGUUCAAAGAAGUGCUGUGUGAGACCUUACCAUCAAAACAUCCUCUACAGUAUUCGUCUUUUAAGGUUUCUUUGUAUAGUUAUAAUUUUUCUAAGGCUAUGGACUCUACCAUAUGGCCGAAAGGGGCAUGCAUUGAUAAGUUUUUUCAGUGGAAGAAGAAGAAUCAGCCUACUCAGAAGUAAUUUUUGCUCCAGAAGUCAUGUUAUUAAAUGUUCAAAGUCUGAAUCCUAACAAGAGCCGACUUUUGGAGGUUGAACUUUCUAAAUGCAGGAGUGUAAAAAUUCUUUGUCUGACGGAAACAUGGUCAAAUUCGGCCUCGAUAAACAGUAAUAGUAUCGAUGAAUUUAAAUUGAUCGCAAUGAAGUUCAAUUAGAAAGAGAGGUUAAUAUUUUAAUGACGAAUCUCCAAUCCUGGUUUUCCACCAACAACAUUUAUAUAAACUCUGAAAAAACACAAGUUAUAAGAUUUCGUAAUCGCCAAAACACCUGUCUUAUGGUAGAUACAAACCUCAACUUUAAGUCACAUGCCAAAAUACUGGUUCCAAAAUUAAACUCACUGUGUUAUCUUCUAAGAAAUUUAAAGAUAAUUUUAAAUAUUGAUCAAUUGGUUAAUAUAUACCAUGCUCAUGUGGAAUCCAGAAUUAGGUAUGGUAUUUGUUUAUGGGGUGGGUCACCAAGCGCAGCCAAUGUGUUUAUUAGUCAAAAACGUGCCAUCAGAACAAUUGCCGGUGCA
Zophobas morio is the source of this 794-nucleotide long non-coding RNA. RefSeq lists it as uncharacterized. The record is from RefSeq and is a predicted model, not a curated record. The transcript is spliced from 3 exons. Lineage: Eukaryota; Metazoa; Arthropoda; Insecta; Coleoptera; Tenebrionidae.